This 352-nucleotide ribosomal RNA is filed under the name uncultured Coriobacteriales bacterium. Its description in RNAcentral is "partial 16S ribosomal RNA". The record is from RNAcentral. Lineage: Bacteria; Bacillati; Actinomycetota; Coriobacteriia; Coriobacteriales.
GGAGUCUGGACCGUGUCUCAGUUCCAAUGUGGCCGAUCACCCUCUCAGGUCGGCUACCCAUCGCUGACUUGGUGGGCCGUUACCUCACCAACUAUCUAAUGGGACGCGAGCUCACCCCGAACCGAUAAAUCUUUUACCUCAAAAGGAUGCCCUCUCGUGGUCUUAUGCGGUAUUAGCACUGUUUUCACAGUGUUAUCCCCCUGUCCGGGACAGAUUGCUCACGCGUUACUCACCCGUCCGCCGCUAGAAUAAUUCGCUUCCGGCCGAAGCUUUCCACAAAUUAUCCCCGCUCGACUUGCAUGUGUUAAGCACGCCGCCAGCGUUCGUCCUCGUAGCCACUGAUCAAACUACU